Molecule: ribosomal RNA, 434 nt
Filed under: Streptomyces sp. 414S-4
Lineage: Bacteria; Bacillati; Actinomycetota; Actinomycetes; Kitasatosporales; Streptomycetaceae
Description: bacterial SSU rRNA
Rfam family: Bacterial small subunit ribosomal RNA
Source: RNAcentral
AACCAUGCGGGUGCUACACAUGCAGUCGACGAUGAAGCCUUUCGGGGUGGAUUAGUGGCGAACGGGUGAGUAACACGUGGGCAAUCUGCCCUUCACUCUGGGACAAGCCCUGGAAACGGGGUCUAAUACCGGAUACGACCUGCCUCCGCAUGGGGGUGGGUGGAAAGCUCCGGCGGUGAAGGAUGAGCCCGCGGCCUAUCAGCUUGUUGGUGGGGUAAUGGCCUACCAAGGCGACGACGGGUAGCCGGCCUGAGAGGGCGACCGGCCACACUGGGACUGAGACACGGCCCAGACUCCUACGGGAGGCAGCAGUGGGGAAUAUUGCACAAUGGGCGAAAGCCUGAUGCAGCGACGCCGGGUGAGAGAUGGCGGCCUUCAAGUUCUUAACCUCUUCCAACGGGGAAGAUUCAAGAGGUGCGGUGCAUGAAAAACCC